GUGGGGGACAACCCGGGGAAACCCGGGCUAAUACCGCAUACGUCCUACGGGAGAAAGGGGGCUUCGGCUCUCGCUGCAGGAUGAGCCCGCGUCCGAUUAGCUUGUUGGUGGGGUAAUGGCCCACCAAGGCGACGAUCGGUAGCUGGUCUGAGAGGAUGAUCAGCCACACUGGGACUGAGACACGGCCCAGACUCCUACGGGAGGCAGCAGUGGGGAAUUUUCCGCAAUGGGCGAAAGCCUGACGGAGCAACGCCGCGUGAGGGAUGAAGGCCUCUGGGCUGUAAACCUCUUUUCUCAAGGAAGAAGAUCUGACGGUACUUGAGGAAUAAGCCACGGCUAAUUCCGUGCCAGCAGCCGCGGUAAUACGGGAGUGGCAAGCGUUAUCCGGAAUUAUUGGGCGUAAAGCGUCCGCAGGCGGUCUUGAAAGUCUGUUGUUAAAGCGUGGAGCUUAACUCCAUUUCAGCAAUGGAAACUAGAAGACUAGAGUGUGGUAGGGGCAGAGGGAAUUCCCGGUGUAGCGGUGAAAUGCGUAGAUAUCGGGAAGAACACCAGUGGCGAAGGCGCUCUGCUGGGCCAUAACUGACGCUCAUGGACGAAAGCCAGGGGAGCGAAAGGGAUUAGAUACCCCUGUAGUCCUGGCCGUAAACGAUGAACACUAGGUGUCGGGGGAAUCGACCCCCUCGGUGUCGUAGCCAACGCGUUAAGUGUUCCGCCUGGGGAGUACGCACGCAAGUGUGAAACUCAAAGGAAUUGACGGGGGCCCGCACAAGCGGUGGAGUAUGUGGUUUAAUUCGAUGCAACGCGAAGAACCUUACCAGGGUUUGACAUCCUGCGAAUCCCUUGGAAACGAGGGAGUGCCUUCGGGAGCGCAGAGACAGGUGGUGCAUGGCUGUCGUCAGCUCGUGUCGUGAGAUGUUGGGUUAAGUCCCGCAACGAGCGCAACCCACGUCUUUAGUUGCCAGCAUUCAGUUGGGCACUCUAGAGAGACCGCCGGUGAUAAACCGGAGGAAGGUGUGGAUGACGUCAAGUCAUCAUGCCCCUUACAUCCUGGGCUACACACGUACUACAAUGCUACGGACAAAGGGCAGCAAACUCGCGAGAGCUAGCAAAUCCCAUAAACCGUGGCUCAGUUCAGAUCGUAGGCUGCAACUCGCCUACGUGAAGGAGGAAUCGCUAGUAAUCGCAGGUCAGCAUACUGCGGUGAAUACGUUCCCGGGCCUUGUACACACCGCCCGUCACACCAUGGAAGUUGGCCACGCCCGAAGUCGUUACUCCAACCCUUGUGGAGGAGGACGCCGAAGGUGGGGCUGAUGACUGGGGUGAAGUCGUAACAAGGUA
Molecule: ribosomal RNA, 1338 nt
Filed under: metagenome
Description: bacterial SSU rRNA
Rfam family: Bacterial small subunit ribosomal RNA
Source: RNAcentral